GCAUGGCUAUGGAUUUAUGGUGGGAUCUAUCCCAUGAUCUCUUCAUAGUGUACUCCAUGCAAAAUCAAAAUCUGCUUCGAACCAUUGACUGGCCUAAAACUAAUAGGCCUGCUUCACUGAUGUGGGCAGUACAGUU
Stegostoma tigrinum is the source of this 136-nucleotide small nucleolar RNA. RefSeq annotates it as small nucleolar RNA SNORA42/SNORA80 family. The record is from RefSeq and is a predicted model, not a curated record. The transcript has a single exon. NCBI's taxonomy places the organism in Eukaryota, Metazoa, Chordata, Chondrichthyes, Orectolobiformes, Stegostomatidae.